GCUCCCCUAGUCUAAAGGUAGGGCGUUGGACUUCUAACUACGGUUGGCAUCCAAAGAUUGCGGGUUCGACCCCCGCGGGGAGUG
This 84-nucleotide transfer RNA is filed under the name Melampsora larici-populina 98AG31. RNAcentral's name for it is "tRNA-Arg for anticodon UCU". It matches the Rfam family "tRNA". From Rfam's summary of the family: Transfer RNA (tRNA) molecules are approximately 80 nucleotides in length. Their secondary structure includes four short double-helical elements and three loops (D, anti-codon, and T loops). Lineage: Eukaryota; Fungi; Basidiomycota; Pucciniomycetes; Pucciniales; Melampsoraceae. The record is from Rfam by way of RNAcentral.